AACGAACGCUGGCGGCAGGCUUAACACAUGCAAGUCGAACGCUCACCUUCGGGUGGGAGUGGCAGACGGGUGAGUAACGCGUGGGAACGUACCCUUUGGUUCGGAAUAACCCAGGGAAACUUGGGCUAAUACCGGAUACGCCCUUCGGGGGAAAGGUUUACUGCCGAAGGAUCGGCCCGCGUCGGAUUAGCUAGUUGGUGGGGUAAAAGCCUACCAAGGCGACGAUCCGUAGCUGGUCUGAGAGGAUGAUCAGCCACACUGGGACUGAGACACGGCCCAGACUCCUACGGGAGGCAGCAGUGGGGAAUAUUGGACAAUGGGCGCAAGCCUGAUCCAGCCAUGCCGCGUGAGUGAAGAAGGCCUUAGGGUUGUAAAGCUCUUUCAGCGGGGAAGAUAAUGACGGUACCCGCAGAAGAAGCCCCGGCUAACUUCGUGCCAGCAGCCGCGGUAAUACGAAGGGGGCUAGCGUUGUUCGGAAUUACUGGGCGUAAAGCGCGCGUAGGCGGGUGAUUAAGUCAGGGGUGAAAUGCCGAGGCUCAACCUCGGAACUGCCUUUGAUACUGGUCGCCUGGAGUUCGGGAGAGGUAAGUGGAAUUCCGAGUGUAAAGGUGAAAUUCGUAGAUAUUCGGAGGAACACCAGAAGCGAAGGCGGCUUACUGGCCCGAUACUGACGCUGAGG
RNAcentral lists this ribosomal RNA (679 nucleotides) under uncultured bacterium. Its description in RNAcentral is "bacterial SSU rRNA". It matches the Rfam family "Bacterial small subunit ribosomal RNA", at positions 28 to 751 of the family's 1533-position model. The record is from RNAcentral.